CUGGAUGUAUAGCGAAGUGGACUGUUUUGGUUGGGGCGCGUGAUCUGAAGUUCGCUCCACUUUCAUUUUAUCUGCUAUUGAACGCAGUUUAUCCCGUCUUAAAUUUUAUCGAUUAUUUACGUUUUAAAAUACCUAAAGUUGGAUUAGGAAAGUUAUUUGAAAUGUUUGGAUAAAGUUUACAGGUAACUUAUUAGAUAUUUUGUAGUCAUGCUGGACGAGUUGGAACCGGUGUUUUUCUGAAUCAAAGGCGCCAAAUAAAUGGAUAUUUUGGAGAUAUAACGACGGAAUUAAUUGAACAAAAGGACCAUUUGUGAUGUUUAUGGGACAUAUUGGAGUGCCAACAGAGAAGCUCUUCAAAGGACCUGAGCCCUGGGACCAUGCCUCAGGACUACCUGGCAUGAUGACUCCUUGCUGUCCCCAGUCCACCUGGUCGUGCUGCUGCUCCAGUUUCAACUGUUCUGCCAGCGGCUAUGGAACCCUGACCUGUUCACCGGACGGGCUACCUGUCACAGACCUGCUGUUUUCAACUCUCUAGAGACAGCAGGAGCGGUAGAGAUACUCUCAAUGAUCAGCUAUGAAAAGCCAACUGACAUUUACUCUUGAGGUGCUGACUUGUUGCACCCUCGACAACUACUGUGAUUAUUAUUAUUUGACCAUGCUGGUCAUUUAUGAACAUCUUGGCCAUGUUCUGUUAUAAUCUCCACACGGCACAGCCAGAAGAGGACUGGCCACCCCUCAUAGCCUGGUUCCUCUCUAGGUUUCAUCCUAGGAUUUGGCCUUUCUAGGGAGUUUUUCCUAGCCACCGUGCUUCUACACCUGCAUUGCUUGCUGUUUGGGGUUUUAGGCUGGGUUUCUGUACAGCACUUUGAGAUAUCAGCUGAUGUAAGAAGGGCUAUAUAAAUACAUUUGAUUUGAUUUGAAUAGGGUUUAGAUGACUGUGCUGGCCUCUCCAUUAUAGACAGAAUACCAGCUGACUGCUUCUUCCCUAAAUAGGUCUUGCAUAGUUUGGAGCUGUGCUUUGGGUCAUUGUCCUGACAGAUGCGUCAAGCACUCCCCCAGCAUCUUUUCAUUUUUUUCUGCGUCUCACAGAUGGUCUUCUUUGUGAUCCGAACACCUCAAACUUAGAUUCGUCUGUCCAUAACACUUUUUUCCAUUCUUCCUCUGUCCAGUGUGUGUUAUUUUGCUCAUCUUAAUCUUUUCUUUUUAUUGGCCAGUCUGAGAUAUGGCUUUUUCUUUGCAACUCUGCCUAGAAGGCCAGCAUCCCGGAGUCGCCUCUUCACUGUUGACGUUGAGACUGGUGUUUUACGGGUACUAUAAUGAAGCUGCCAGUUGAGGACUUGUGAGGCGUCUGUUUCUCAAACUAGACACUAUAAUGUACUUGUCCUCUUGCUCAGUUGUGCGCCGGAGCCUCCCACUCCUCUUUCUAUUCUGGUUAGAGCCAGUUUGCGCUGUUCUGAGA
Molecule: long non-coding RNA, 1459 nt
Filed under: Salmo salar (Atlantic salmon)
Lineage: Eukaryota; Metazoa; Chordata; Actinopteri; Salmoniformes; Salmonidae
Description: lncRNA (ENSSSAG00000113326.1)
Source: RNAcentral